This 425-nucleotide ribosomal RNA is filed under the name uncultured bacterium. RNAcentral's name for it is "partial 16S ribosomal RNA". It matches the Rfam family "Bacterial small subunit ribosomal RNA", at positions 354 to 796 of the family's 1533-position model. The record is from RNAcentral.
GUUAGGAAUAUUGGACAAUGGGCGCAAGCCUGAUCCAGCCAUGCCGCGUGAGUGAUGAAGGCCUUCGGGUUGUAAAGCUCUUUAGUCCACGAAUAUAAUGACUGUAGUGGAAGAAUAAGCCCCGGCUAACUUCGUGCCAGCAGCCGCGGUAAUACGAAGGGGGCGAGCGUUAUUCGGAAUCACUGGGCGUAAAGCGUGCGUAGGCUGUUUUGUAAGUCAGCAGUGAAAGCCCAGGGCUUAACCCUGGAAUUGCUUUUGAAACUACAAGACUCGAAUUCGGGAGAGGAUAGCGGAAUUGUCAGUGUAGCAGUGAAAUGCGUAGAUAUUGACAGGAACACCAGUGGCGCAAGCGGCUAUCUGGACCGAUAUUGACGCUGAGGCACGAAAGCGUGGGGAGCAAACAGGAUUAGAUACCCGGGUAGUCC